Triticum aestivum (bread wheat) is the source of this 774-nucleotide long non-coding RNA. RefSeq lists it as uncharacterized. The transcript is spliced from 4 exons. Lineage: Eukaryota; Viridiplantae; Streptophyta; Magnoliopsida; Poales; Poaceae. The record is from RefSeq and is a predicted model, not a curated record.
CCAGCCCAACCCCCAUUCGGCGGCUACAUCGCCGCACUCCAACGCCCAGCACACCGCCCCUUCAGCGCCCAGCGCGGCCGCCACCUGAAACCCCCCAUCCCACCUCCACCCCGUAUCGAUCUGCCGCUUCCUCGACGUGGCUCCGUGCCGCUUCCUCGAUCUGCCUCGCCGCCAGUUCCUCGAUCUGCCUCGCCGCCGUUUGGAUCGUUGCGGCGACGGCUUUGUCGGUCUUCAGCUCCGGCACCUACAUCUUAAAGGAGCACGAUCUCGUCGCUGGUUUCAUCGGUUCUGGGACCCAAAUUGCUGAGGGGACUUCCACAACUUGUAUUGCUUGAUUUCCCUGUCUGAGACUACAAUCUUGUCCUAGGUGAGGGAAACGAGGGAUCUUACGGGCGAAUCUUUUCCAAGACUGAACCAGCAGGGGACUAGAACUGAACAGCCACACCCAGCUCGCUCAAAAAAAGGUGCACUUCUUCCAUCGAGAUUCGAGAGAAGGAUAAUUGAUUUGCAGCGGAAUUCUUGGAUCAAGAAGCAAAUAAAAUUUGAAGAUUUUAGCUACCAAUAGUCGUAGUUUACAUACAUAGAUUGAAAAAUGUAAUAUCAUCAAGAAGGAUCUUUUUCUUUUGUCGAAUUGAUGCAAAUGCUAUGUUGUAAUAUUCUCCAUAGUUGUGUUCUCUACGCUCAAAAUGAUAUGAAUGAUAUCUUUACUGUAAUGCAUACGUAUCAUAUGCUCUUGUAUAUUCGUAAUAAAUAGCUUCAUAUUUUGAAUUUCUA